UAAGCAUAUCAAUAAGCGGAGGAAAAGAAACCAACAGGGAUUGCCUUAGUAACGGCGAGUGAAGCGGCAACAGCUCAAAUUUGAAAUCUGGCCUUUUUGGUCCGAAUUGUAAUUUGUAGAAGGCAUCUCGGGCGCGGCACCAGUUUAAGUUCCUUGGAAUAGGGCGUCAUAGAGGGUGAGAAUCCCGUAUGUGACUGGCCGCCAAACCCAUGUGAGAUCCUUUCGACGAGUCGAGUUGUUUGGGAAUGCAGCUCUAAAUGGGUGGUAAAUUUCAUCUAAAGCUAAAUAUUGGCCAGAGACCGAUAGCGCACAAGUAGAGUGAUCGAAAGAUGAAAAGCACUUUGGAAAGAGAGUUAAAAAGUAUGUGAAAUUGUUAAAAGGGAAGCGCUUGUAACCAGACUUGUUUGCAGUUGAUCAACCUUUCUUCGGACUGGUGCACUCUUCUGUAUGCAGGCCAGCAUCAGUUUAGACGGUUGGAUAAAGACCUCAGGAACGUGGCUCUCUUCGGGGAGUGUUAUAGCCUGGGGUGUAAUACAGCCUGCCUGGACUGAGGACCGCGCUUUUGCUAGGAUGCUGGCGUAAUGGUUGCCAGCGACCCGUCUUGAAACACGGACCAAGGAGUCAACCAAUUGUGCGAGUGUUUGGGUGUUAAAACCCAUACGCGUAAUGAAAGUGAACGGAGGUAGGAGCCCUUACGGGUGCACUAUCGACCGAUCCUGAUGUUUUCGGAUGGAUUUGAGUAUGAGCAUCAUUGGCUGGACCCGAAAGAUGGUGAACUAUGCAUGAAUAGGGUGAAGCCAGAGGAAACUCUGGUGGAGGCUCGCAGCGGUUCUGACGUGCAAAUCGAUCGUCAAAUUUGUGCAUAGGGGCGAAAGACUAAUCGAACCAUCUAGUAGCUGGUUCCUGCCGA
This 910-nucleotide ribosomal RNA is filed under the name Claviradulomyces dabeicola. RNAcentral describes it as "eukaryotic LSU rRNA". It matches the Rfam family "Eukaryotic large subunit ribosomal RNA", at positions 35 to 964 of the family's 3401-position model. The record is from RNAcentral. Lineage: Eukaryota; Fungi; Ascomycota; Lecanoromycetes; Ostropales; Odontotremataceae.